GUGAAAGUGAAAGUGUUUUCCUCACACAAGCGACUAACGGACACUAGUAACGGACUCUCAACCCGAGCAGACAGCUGAAAUCCCCAAAGCCAUCAAUUAUCAACAUGGUGCAGCGAGAUUUGCGUGAGCCGAAAUUGUUCAUGAUGGUGUUUGGGAACCCGCUUAACUCUCACCUGACGUUUAUGAACCGACUCAGGCAACGUCUCAGUUACGGUGAAGGGACUUCAAUAGAAGAGAGCGACGUCAUCAUUGCUUUCGUCGCCAUUUCAUCUCGAGCUGGAACAGAUAUUGAAGCUGCUCUUCAGGAAAUUCCACAAGGAUUGGCUCAGUCUAUUUUUCUAGUGGUGCUCCACCACACCUUUGAUGAAAAUUGGGUGAUUCCAGACAGCAGGCGGUCUGUUAACAGGAGGAACGUCUUCACUGUGGACUGCCUGUUUCAUGAAGACCUAGGCUUCCUGAGAUGUCAAAGCAACGACGAGGCUCUGAGAGCAGUUACUGAUCGUCUAAUCUUUUUAGGAGUUUCAGAAAGGUCAACGGGUGACCCAGGCAGGGAGACGAGGAGGCGGACACAAGUGCAGCCUGAGGCAGAUGGUAUCCCUGAAAGACCCAAACCAUUCCCUCGCUGGAUCGCGAAAUUACUGGUUGGGAUCGGUGGGGUAGCUGUGGCAUCAGCUGUAGUCUGCUUUAUCUAUUUUUUAGUUAAUCCCAAGUAGUCAGUGCAGUUCUGACCGCAGCUCUGCAGUAACAUUUAUAAAUGGUUAAUCUGUACUCUGAUAUGUAGUUAAUAUAACAUCUGUUUAAAAGCUGUAUGAAUGUGUUUGUCUCCUGCAUAUAAAGAGUUUUGAUCCCAGAUUUGACCAGGAAAUCAUCUCUGUUAUCAGUGGAAUAUGUUUGUAAUCUAAUUGUGAAUAAUAAUAAUAACAAUACUGAAUAAUCUCUUGGCAUCUUUUAUAUACUGUAGAUCUGUGAUCAAUGAUUUUCCUCAUGCUUGAACCUGUACUGUGUUACUCUUAAA
Molecule: long non-coding RNA, 1015 nt
Filed under: Astyanax mexicanus (Mexican tetra)
Lineage: Eukaryota; Metazoa; Chordata; Actinopteri; Characiformes; Acestrorhamphidae
Description: lncRNA (ENSAMXG00005007481.1)
Source: RNAcentral